Molecule: transfer RNA, 66 nt
Filed under: Toona ciliata
Lineage: Eukaryota; Viridiplantae; Streptophyta; Magnoliopsida; Sapindales; Meliaceae
Also listed under: 2 other names
Description: tRNA-Ala
Source: RNAcentral
UAGAUUGUACCAUACCUUAUGAGAGACGUUGGCCUCGCCUUACCUUCUGAUCUCAGACAGUCUACC